GAAAAAAUUCCUGGAAAACCCAGACUUAUCUCAGACAGAGGAGAAACUUCGUGGAGCAGUGCUACAUGCACUACGUAAAACUACCUACCAUUGGCAAGAACUGAGAGUUGACGAGGAUGUGUAACAAGUAUUUUCUUCUAUCAUGCCUGCCAGGGCUGAAGCUGCCUGGUAUCCAGGAGGGGAAUGCUGGUAUCCCCAUAUGUCUGUGUUUGUUUGAGAUUUUUAAUAAUAAAUAAUAAAUUUUUAAAG
This 249-nucleotide small RNA is filed under the name Pan troglodytes (chimpanzee). RNAcentral's name for it is "processed transcript". The record is from RNAcentral. Lineage: Eukaryota; Metazoa; Chordata; Mammalia; Primates; Hominidae.